Megalopta genalis is the source of this 6145-nucleotide non-coding RNA. Lineage: Eukaryota; Metazoa; Arthropoda; Insecta; Hymenoptera; Halictidae. The record is from RefSeq and is a predicted model, not a curated record.
GUACACAGGCAGAAUAAGUUUCCUCACGCGAUACUUAGCGAGGGGCAUUUCUAAUUAUCUCCGAUACGUGAUCAUCAUAACUCAUGUGUUUCUUGCGGCUGAAUUGUGUUAUGCUUCUUCGGCCAAGUUCGACUUCAUGAUUUUUCCAUUCUUCCGGGAAAUAUCGUUCAAAGGCUCGAAAUCUUCCUUAUCAGACUGCGGAUACUUGAGAUCGGGAUAGUUCCAUGCCUGAAUAUCUGCAGUUCCGAAAACCUGAUAGACGACAUAAGUGCCACAGGCAACACACGCGCUCACGCCGAAAACUUGCCUCCAGGCAUCGAGGGCUUGCUGUGGAAAGAAUUAUUUUGUAACCCUUUGCUGUAUAAAUAUAAAUUUCUACAAAAUGUAUAUGCCAUACCCAAAGCAAUUUUUAAACCACCAAUAAAAGACAAGGUAUCACAAGUAAAUUCUAUCGAAUAUAUGAAUGCUACCAAAAAUAAAUAAAAUAAUUACUCACGCUUUUCUGAGUAAGUAGUCCAGCUACAAUAGGAGAUAGGAAACUAGCUGACAUGUGAAUUGUCUGCGCAAAUGCUAAUAUCGGACCUACAAAGAUAUAAUGGAACAUGAUACAAAAAUUUCAGAGAAGAUACUUAAAAGAUAUAUAAAUUGUGUUUACUUGCCAGCAAAGUUUGGCGCGAUAUCAACGAUGCUUGCCAUCGCUCCUGCGUAGGCAGCAGUGAUAAGGCUGACAGCUAUGAACCAUACCACUAAAACGAGAAUGAUAUCACAACCCAGAUAACCGAUCAAUACCAAUAAUAUUCCAGGAACCACUUGAGCUAAAAACGAAAAAUAUUUUAUUACUCGACAUCAUCAUCACAAAAUGAGAUAAAUAUUUCAUGUGAAUGUAACAUGUAUCAAGGAGACGAUAUUUUUAAGUGAUAAAGUCGAUACAUACAUCAAGUACUUUAAAAAAUGAAUUAAUCGAUGUUACUUGGAAUAGUAAUAAUUUGUCCGCACAUUGACAAUUUAUUAUAUGUAAGAGUAGCCAAAUUUAGACCAAUGCUUUAAUUGAAAAAGAAAAAUACUUACAACGUUAUUAAUAGUACAUGACUAUGAACAACGUAUUGGAAAAGGAAAAUGUUCGUUACAAAUAUUAUUGUAAAUCAGAUUCAAUUCAAACGUCAGUCUAUAUUUGGCUACCCUCUCCUAUCAAAAUUUUGACUUUGAGAAGAGACUGAGAAUGCUUACCGGCAGCGGUGAACACCUUGCGGAUGUUUGUCAGUGAGAGAAUCUGUCGUGUGACUAGAACAUCAGCUACAUAGCAGAAUGCUACAGAACUGAAGUAGCUGCAGAUAAAGGGUAAACCAGACAAAACCCCGUUCUGGAAAAAGGGAAACAUGUGCGUAAGAAUAAUACAGAAACGUAUAUAAAAUUUGAAAAAUUUUAGUUUAUAAUAAUACACGUACUGCUUGGAUACUGAACCCUAGGACUGUUUUCAUGUACAUUGGUCCAGAAAUGAUGAAAACAUAGUGUACCCAUAUCCUACCGAAUGUAGUGAUUCCAAUUGACCAGGCUGCCCACGAUGUUAAGAUAUGCUUCCACGGAACUGGCAUACUCUGUAACAAAAUAUAAAAGUCAACAGCUAAAUUGUACACUGUUUACUUUUAUGAUUCAAGAUUAAAUAGGGAAGCCAUUGUGAUGAUUCAAAUUUUAGAUAAUGUUCAAUGAUCUGUUAAUGAUAUAUUAAUAAUUAUUUACUUAAAAUGUACUUAGUAUUAAAAGUUAUAAUAAUUUUAUAGAACGAAUCAAAAAUAUUGGGAAGCAAUAAAAUGGCGGAAUCUUCUAUGAAAUGUAUUGAUUUUGAAAUGAAAAUUUGCUUGUUUCUGAAGUCUCAACAUUCACAUUUUGUAAAUUUUUUUUUUUAUUGCAAGUUCGGAAAGCUAUCUAAAUAAAAGGAUGAAAGAUUUUUUUCUAUCAGUUUCAUACUUUUGGGAUACAUUUUUAAGGAUAUUUCAGUGCACAAAACAAUUACAAUCUGAACGGUACCUCCUGAGUCCUGUGGACUUGGUUUCCAACGCUUUCUUGAAUAUACCGUAGCUCCUGCUGCGAUAUUCUUGGAUGAUCGGCGGGACUGUCGAAAGCAAAGAAGUACCAGAAAAGGCACCAGAUGAUGCCAACGGUGCCAGUUGUAUAGAAAACCAAUCUCCAGCCAAAGUGAGCGAUGAUGAAUCCGCACAGUGGAUAGGUAAUCCCGAUGCCGAAGCUGAACCCUGAAUAUAGAUAAUCUAGACGUUAGGAGUGGCUCACCCCACGACCCGGAAGGAAGCUGAAACAUGAUGCUUGUCGAAUGGCUUCGCUUUGGCUCGUGUACGAUUCAUUCUUGUCGAUGAUCGCUCUUCAGCGGUGGCGCUAUAUUUCACCCUGUAAAGCGAUUCAAGUAGAGACUUAGUACGAGAGGAUGAUGAUGAAUGCACGGCGAGGUAGCUAUAGUACGACAAUGAAACUUCUAUACCUGAAAAUAUAUCAAGAGUGAGUAAACUCUUCAAUCACAGUUACCAAAAUAGCUACAUAGUGAAUUUUGAUCAAAUCAUAUAGAAUACAAUUUUUAACUAUUACUGUUUUUGCUAAAUUUUUAAUAUUUUUGCUCAUUGGAUCUGUUCUGUUAGCUUCUUUUGUGAAAGAAGAGACCUGAUGUGAGUAUUCAUUCUAAUAUAGUUAAUUCAAAAUAGUACAAUUUUAUGUAUUUUGAGUAUCUUCUUUCACAAAACAGACCACAGUUCAGAUCUGACUUAAUUACGUAAGCAUAUGUGAGUACUGGUCUUCUGCAUGAAUUUUAAAGUAUACUGCUUUCGCAUUCAGCCUUGAUUAUUAACAUGGUACAGCGUUUCAUGGUGAGUUGCGUGAACAUUCAUUCUUUUGUCGGCACGUCAGUUGGUGCAAUGAAACAGAGUAUUCGAACAUGAUCAAAGAAAUGCCCGGAGAGUUUUAUGAAUUCAAGUUGUCAAUCUUGUUUUUUAUUGAAGUUAGCAAAGGAAUGUUCCAGUUUACAUAUACCAAGGCUAGCCCGAUAUGUUUAUGACGCAUAGAAACGGAAAAAUGGAGACACAAUAGAGACAGUAUACUCGUAAUAUAUACAGUAGAAUUCCAUUUGUUCGAACAAAAUUUUUAGACAAUUCCUGUGAUUAACUAAUCUGCCAAGCGUUAUUCCUUAAGAAAAUUGAUUGAAGUUAUCAAAAGUUUCUAACAUAGAUUUAUUUGAUCUAUUUGUCAAGCUAUCGUUAUUUCCGCAAAUACAUUUCUAAAUUUGAUGACUUGUGACAUUAUUAUGUUUGUGUGAACAGAUAAAACUGAAUUAGACGAACUUCUAUUAUAUGAGCAGUUCAGCGAAACCUUCUCAAAAAGCCAUUGUUGGAAUGCAGCCUACUUUACAGUUAAUGACAAGUAAAUAACCAAAUUGUUUACAGAUUAGAUACAAAUCCGAAAAGUCAUAAAGACUCUAUGAUUUUGUCUCUUAUCUGAACCACUUAGGUUGAAAUAACUUUAUUCCAUUAUAAAAUAACCAUGACAGUUAUGUACUUUGAUUCACGAGACCCAGUCAUGAUAUUGAAGUUAUUAUCAAUUAUCAUAAAAAUGUAAUGUGGUGAUAAUUUCCACACAUCAAUAGGAUCGCAUAAAUGGAAUUCUACAAUAACAGUAAAAGUUGUCGUUGUUCGAUCGCGUAGUAUGUAUGUUCCAAGAAAGUUUGAGUGAGAAGGAUGAUUGGAUAAUGCACGUAAUUCUUUGGAAAAGAAAAUAGAGAAUAACGAGCACGGAUUUCUCGUAGAACGAUCGACACCGGGGCACAUACAAAAGAAUGAUGAAAAAUGACAAGUAUUACAAAACGUGUUCCUCGAGCCCGGCUGAUUCUACCAGCUGGAAGUAUACUCGGCCUUUCUCAUGCUGUUGAGCGGUUGCUGUUGAGUAUACCCCUCGGUCCGGCGAAUGCAACCACGUGGAGCUUGAAUGAAUCAGAAACAAAGUGAAAUGUCCGUCGAAAUGAGACCGUGUUAUCUCGUAUUUGAUCGACAAACAUGAUCUUGUGGUCUCGAACCGUGAAUUUUGACUGAAAAACAAAGCAUUUUCUCAUUCGAACUUCCGUUUCCCGUUUCUGAAAGAAGCGUGCCAUUAGUAUUCCACACAAAUAACCCAGUUUCGUUUAUCUUUCGUUUGUUUUUGUUUCUUUUUCUGUCUAUUGUUUUCAAGAGGAGACGCUAUAGUCUGGUACACGCUACUGAUUCAUUCCCGGUUCGGUCUCGGUUCGGUCUCGGUCCAAUUCGACAUUGAUUCACCGUUUUGUAUUAUCGUGUACGAUACUUGUACGGCAGUGCGAACGCGAUAGAAUUUUGCUGGACCGAGACCGAAACGAGGCUGGACUGGACACGAACCAAUAGUGUGGCUCGGGCCUAAAAAGAAAACGGACGUAUCGAAGUUUCACUGUAACAGGUAAGAGAAGAAAACAAUCGAUGUGUUACCAAGAGGCGAUUUACCUUGGAAGGAAGACAUGAAACGAGAACGUUCCACAGGCGGGAUCCAAUGUCCAACGACGGCAUACAUUGCGGGCCAUGUGAGUCCCUGAACAUACCAAUUACCAUUAUUUCAGACAAUGCAGUUAAUCGCGUUUUAAAUUAAUCAAUUUUAGAACGUCAAUCGUUUCGUCGAUCAGUACAGAAUUUAUUACAGAAUUUUAAGCACAAAGAAUAAACCACUACAGAUUAUCAGGUUGAAUCUUUCAAAUUCUCUGCUACCAAUUGAUGAACACAGUUUACAUUUCUUUCCAAGAGAUACUUACACUUGCGACGCCCUGUAUACUCCUGAGAGCAAUUAUGAAGCCAUAAUGGAUCCCCGCCGCAGUCGGCAAAAGCAAACUGCAGAUCGCCGUAAUUAGCUGGGACCCGCCGAAAACUGUUUUAGUGCCGAAGUACUGUGCGAGCACACCGCCAACCACUUGGGACAGUAUGUAACACCAGUAGAACGAGCCACUGAUGACGGAUUGUAUGGUCGGGCUCCAUUCGAAUUCCCCUUGUUCCUGUCCAACAAUUAAACAAUGAGAUAUUUGCACGAACUAGUUCACCAACGGACAGUUUAGCAUUUGCGAAUCUGAUUGGCUAAGAUAUUUAAUUUUGUCAUUCAGAGUGUUUCCUACAGCCAUUGACUAUUCGAAACUAUUAGAUACCGACAAAAAAGAACGAUUGGUUCAAUCUUGAGAAAAGUUAUCGCCUAUCAGCAACAUUCGCUGAAUGAUCAAGAAAAGUGGUCGAUCGCAACUAUUGGAAAUCAAAAUCGCUUCGUCGAACCCGUAACAAUCAUCCCACAAACGUACAACGGCUGUAGAGACAGUGACGAAAUAUUGCAGCUGAUGCUUUCUGUUAAAUAAACCAAGAUUUACCACUGCCAUUUAUCGAGUCGCGGAGGCGGCAAUUAUAGAGUUUCCGCCGUCGCUAAGAAUCUACGGUAUAAGAUCACGACGAUAAUUAUACACGUGGCGUUACGUGAACGGAUUUUUUAAUAUCUUGACUGUAGGCUUUGAAACAAGGGUACCAGCGUGUAACGUUAUCCUCACGAUCAAUAAUGAAGAGCAGAGUCUCCUUGACCAAUGUGGUUUCGAAGGAACUGAUCAAGGCGCUUCUUCUCAGUUUCUAUUUCUCACCAAUUUAACUAAAGAAUUAGAAGGCAAUAAACAAGUGUUUCAUACACAUAAGAUCGCAAUCAACAACAUUUUUCUAUAAAUUCUCAAUAAUUCUAAGUAUAUGAAAAUUAAGAAUCCACAAACGUGCAAUUUUGAGUAAUACACGUACAAAUAAAUACAGCUAUAAAUCGAUAUACACAAAUGAUUCAGCCUACGUAGAAAAUGCAUACCUUAUCCCAGGAGAGCGUAUCGUUGUUUGUAAAGGAUGCAUUUGGUGUUGUGUAGCAAUACUGAGAAUCGACUGUGACUAUGGUGUCGUUAGAUAUGGUCGAUGGUUGCUUGACCAUCGCCACCAUGGCGAUGUUUAUGUCGUUUCUCAUCAUGAAAGAGACAGUGAAUCCUGAGAAUGACAGCAUAUAUAGCACCACUCGCGCUGGGAUCAUGUCUGAAAAUGCGGAUAUAGUCUACAGAGUGUCCCAAAAUAGUCUCGCAAUCCGAGAA